UAGAGUUUGAUCCUGGCUCAGAUUGAACGCUGGCGGCAUGCCUUACACAUGCAAGUCGAACGGUAACAGGUCUUCGGAUGCUGACGAGUGGCGAACGGGUGAGUAAUACAUCGGAACGUGCCCGAUCGUGGGGGAUAACAAGGCGAAAGCUUUGCUAAUACCGCAUACGAUCUACGGAUGAAAGCGGGGGAUCUUCGGACCUCGCGCGGACGGAGCGGCCGAUGGCAGAUUAGGUAGUUGGUGGGAUAAAAGCUUACCAAGCCGACGAUCUGUAGCUGGUCUGAGAGGAUGAUCAGCCACCCUGGGACUGAGACACGGCCCAGACUCCUACGGGAGGCAUCAUUGGGGAAUUUUGGACAUGGGCAAAGCCUGA
RNAcentral lists this ribosomal RNA (373 nucleotides) under uncultured Diaphorobacter sp. Its description in RNAcentral is "bacterial SSU rRNA". It matches the Rfam family "Bacterial small subunit ribosomal RNA", at positions 1 to 386 of the family's 1533-position model. The record is from RNAcentral. Lineage: Bacteria; Pseudomonadati; Pseudomonadota; Betaproteobacteria; Burkholderiales; Comamonadaceae.